ACAGUGGACGCGAGCAUCUGUGGCCAAGUUUUUAAGGGCGCACGGUGGAUGCCUUGGCACCAGGAACCGAUGAAGGACGUGGGAGGCCACGAUAGUCCCCGGGGAGUCGUCAACCAGGCUUUGAUCCGGGGGUUUCCGAAUGGGGAAACCCGGCAGUCGUCAUGGGCUGUCACCCUUGUCUGAACACAUAGGGCAAGUGGAGGGAACGCGGGGAAGUGAAACAUCUCAGUACCCGCAGGAAGAGAAAACAACCGUGAUUCCGGGAGUAGUGGCGAGCGAAACUGGAUGAGGCCAAACCGUAUACGUGUGAGACCCGGCAGGGGUUGCGUAUGCGGGGUUGUGGGAUCUCUCUUUCACAGUCUGCCGGCUGUGAGACGAGUCAGAAACCGUUGAUGUAGGCGAAGGACAUGCGAAAGGUCCGGCGUAGAGGGUAAGACCCCCGUAGUCGAAACAUCAGCGGCUCGUUUGAGAGACACCCAAGUAGCACGGGGCCCGAGAAAUCCCGUGUGAAUCUGGCGGGACCACCCGCUAAGCCUAAAUAUUCCCUGGUGACCGAUAGCGGAUAGUACCGUGAGGGAAUGGUGAAAAGUACCCCGGGAGGGGAGUGAAAUAGUACCUGAAACCGUGUGCCUACAAGCCGUGGGAGCGUCGGAUAUGUGCUUGCACAUAUCUCGUGACUGCGUGCCUUUUGAAGAAUGAGCCUGCGAGUUUGCGGUGUGUUGCGAGGUUAACCCGUGUGGGGAAGCCGUAGCGAAAGCGAGUCCGAAUAGGGCGGUAUAGUAGCGCGCUCAAGACCCGAAGCGGAGUGAUCUAGCCAUGGGCAGGUUGAAGCGGAGGUAAGACUUCGUGGAGGACCGAACCCACCAGGGUUGAAAACCUGGGGGAUGACCUGUGGUUAGGGGUGAAAGGCCAAUCAAACUCCGUGAUAGCUGGUUCUCCCCGAAAUGCAUUUAGGUGCAGCGUCGUGUGUUUCUUGCCGGAGGUAGAGCACUGGAUAGGCGAUGGGCCCUACCGGGUUACUGACCUUAGCCAAACUCCGAAUGCCGGUAAGUGAGAGCGCGGCAGUGAGACUGUGGGGGAUAAGCUCCAUGGUCGAGAGGGAAACAGCCCAGAGCAUCGACUAAGGCCCCUAAGCGUACGCUAAGUGGGAAAGGAUGUGGAGUCGCAGAGACAACCAGGAGGUUGGCUUAGAAGCAGCCACCCUUGAAAGAGUGCGUAAUAGCUCACUGGUCUAGUGAUUCCGCGCCGACAAUGUAGCGGGGCUCAAGCGUACCGCCGAAGUCGUGUCAUUGCAGCAAUACUCCCAACGGAGGCUGUGAUGGGUAGGGGAGCGUCGUGUGCCGGGUGAAGCCGCGCCGGAAGGCAGUGGUGGACGGUUCACGAGUGAGAAUGCAGGCAUGAGUAGCGAUUCACACGUGAGAAACGUGUGCGCCGAUUGACUAAGGGUUCCUGGGUCAAGCUGAUCUGCCCAGGGUAAGUCGGGACCUAAGGCGAGGCCGACAGGCGUAGUCGAUGGAUAACCGGUUGAUAUUCCGGUACCCGCUGUGAAGCGUCAAACAUCGAACCCAUUAAUGCUAAGGCCGUGAAGCCGCCCUGGAGCCUUCGGGCAAAGGGGAGUGGUGGAGCCGCCGAACCAAGGUGGUAGUAGGUGAGUGAUGGGGUGACGCAGGAAGGUAGUCCAUCCCGGGCGGUGGUUGUCCCGGGGUAAGGGUGUAGGACGUCAGGUAGGCAAAUCCGCCUGACAUGUGUCUGAGACCUGAUGCCGAGCCGAUUGUGGUGAAGUGGAUGAUCCUAUGCUGUCGAGAAAAGCCUCUAGCGAGUUUCAUGGCGGCCCGUACCCUAAACCGACUCAGGUGGUCAGGUAGAGAAUACCGAGGCGUUCGGGUAAACUAUGGUUAAGGAACUCGGCAAAAUGCCCCCGUAACUUCGGGAGAAGGGGGGCCACGUCCGGUGAUUGGAUUUACUCCAUGAGCUGGGGGUGGCCGCAGAGACCAGCGAGAAGCGACUGUUUACUAAAAACACAGGUCCGUGCGAAGCCGUAAGGCGAUGUAUACGGACUGACGCCUGCCCGGUGCUGGAACGUUAAGGGGACCGGUUAGCUCCAUUUCGGUGGGGCGAAGCUGAGAACUUAAGCGCCAGUAAACGGCGGUGGUAACUAUAACCAUCCUAAGGUAGCGAAAUUCCUUGUCGGGUAAGUUCCGACCUGCACGAAUGGCGUAACGACUUCUCGACUGUCUCAACCAUAGGCCCGGUGAAAUUGCACUACGAGUAAAGAUGCUCGUUUCGCGCAGCAGGACGGAAAGACCCCGGGACCUUUACUACAGUUUGAUAUUGGUGUUCGGUUCGGCUUGUGUAGGAUAGCUGGGAGACUGUGAACUCUGGACGCCAGUUCAGGGGGAGUCGUCGUUGAAAUACCAGUCUGGUCGUGCUGGAUGUCUAACCUGGGUCCGUGAUCCGGAUCAGGGACAGUGUCUGAUGGGUAGUUUAACUGGGGCGGUUGCCUCCUAAAGAGUAACGGAGGCGCCCAAAGGUUCCCUCAGCCUGGUUGGCAAUCAGGUGUUGAGUGUAAGUGCACAAGGGAGCUUGACUGUGAGACCGACGGGUCGAGCAGGGACGAAAGUCGGGACUAGUGAUCCGGCGGUGGCUUGUGGAAGCGCCGUCGCUCAACGGAUAAAAGGUACCCCGGGGAUAACAGGCUGAUCUUCCCCAAGAGUCCAUAUCGACGGGAUGGUUUGGCACCUCGAUGUCGGCUCGUCGCAUCCUGGGGCUGGAGUCGGUCCCAAGGGUUGGGCUGUUCGCCCAUUAAAGCGGUACGCGAGCUGGGUUUAGAACGUCGUGAGACAGUUCGGUCCCUAUCCGCUGCGCGCGCAGGAAUAUUGAGAAGGGCUGUCCCUAGUACGAGAGGACCGGGACGGACGAACCUCUGGUGUGCCAGUUGUUCUGCCAAGGGCAUGGCUGGUUGGCUACGUUCGGGAGGGAUAACCGCUGAAAGCAUCUAAGCGGGAAGCCUGCUUCGAGAUGAGUAUUCCCACCCACUUGAUGGGGUAAGGCUCCCAGUAGACGACUGGGUUGAUAGGCCGGAUCUGGAAGCACGGUAACGUGUGGAGGUGACCGGUACUAAUAGGCCGAGGGCUUGUCCUCAGUUG
This 3146-nucleotide ribosomal RNA is filed under the name Streptomyces chartreusis. RNAcentral's name for it is "23S ribosomal RNA". It matches the Rfam family "Bacterial large subunit ribosomal RNA". Lineage: Bacteria; Bacillati; Actinomycetota; Actinomycetes; Kitasatosporales; Streptomycetaceae. The record is from RNAcentral.